UAUAUAUUUCUUGGCACCACCGUCGUCUGGCAACAAUCAAUGGUAUGAAAAACAAUUCCACUCCAAUGCAGAUUUGUUUCUGGAAAGGAAGCUAAUUCUCUGCAUUUGAUGCCGAGCACCAGAGUGAAAAAUGAAAAAAGAAACAUAAAUUGCCUAAAAGGCAGACCUAUGGCGUAGGGCAUGGGCAAGACUUGACCUGGCGUGCUGCUGCUGCAGUGGGAAUCUCACACUAUUCACUCACGCGCAGCACCGAAGGAAUCCAAAGGGUUCAUAGGCACAGCCGUGUCCGUCGUAUCUUGGCGAGAACAGGGAGGACGAAGCAGAUUCUGUAGUUUUACGUGUCAUUUUCUUCAACACGUGGCUACGAGAUCAGACUGAACAAGACACCGUAGUAGAAGAAUACAUCAGUUUCUUGUACUAGUAGGAGGAUACAGGGGAUUGGUUGCUGCUCCCCUAGACAAAAACCUUUCCAGUAUUUACUUGUGGCUACUGCCUUGAGUGGGCUCUGGGAAGGAUGGAUGCAUCAGCCGCAGCGAGAUAUCAGUUUAGCGUUUACUACUAGCAGAUAGCCAGCCAAGAAAGUUGCGUUCAGGCAGUUGAACGGCUGCGCUGCAGGAGAAGAAGGCCAAGUAGGACAGCCGGACAGUCUCUAGUUUCCAGGGCAUGCAUCUCCAGUCUUCACGCACAUGAGAAAAGUGACGACAGUUAAAGAAAAAUAGUGCCCAUCAAAACAAUUAAAGCCAGUCAAAAGGAUCAGUAGAAAUCUUGAAGGGAGAAGUACGAGUGUAUGACCCGAAUUCAGGAGCAGAAAGAGCAGGAAAGUAAAUAAAAUCAAGUAUCACUACAGAACUAAUCUGGUGAGCAAGAUAAAAAAGGCAAAGCAAGAACAUCAACUCCAGAGGGCACUAAGUGUAACAGACCUGAUGGAAAAAAGCAGAGGAAGAGAUGCCCUACCUGCCAAUAGCUAUACAGAUCAACAAAUACUGUGCUGGAACUUGGGUACAAAACUAUGCAUGUGCCGAAUUUGCAAGGUGUCACGAGGAAAUUCAAAUCAUCAAGCAUUGCAAGUCAAGGAAUCAUCAACUUUACACGGUGCAGUAACUGCGAAGCAAAUUACGAAACAAAGACAACAAAAUGAAUUAGCAAGAACAGCAAGGAUGAAGAGGAAAGCACAACUUCAACUGAAAGGGGGUAGCAAACGUGCCCGGAUCAAUAACACUGAAAAAAGCAAAGACAGUAAUUCCAGUGGUAGUAAGAUAUGGAACUUUGAAGGGGCAUCAGCUAUACAGAAUCAACAAAUAAUGGACUUGAGAUUUCAAAAUUUAUGUACUAGCCAAUAUUGCCAUGCGGUAAGGGCAAAUUCAAAUUAUCAACCAGCACAAGUCACAGAAUCAUCAGUUGUAGACAGUGCAAUGAUGGCUGAGCAGAUGAUGAAACGGAGACGCCAGGACGAAUUAACGAGAACAGCACGAAUGAAGAGGAAAGCACAAAUUCAACUCAACAAGAGCAGAAGGCAUGCUAGAACCAAUAACGGUGAAAUGGACAAGGAUGAUAAUUCUAAUGCCAGUAAGAUAUGGAACUUUGGGGGGCCAACAUACAUCUGCCAACACUGCCAUGCACUUAUGUGGUAUGCAGAAAGAAUACAAUCUUCCAGAACAAGACAACCAUCCUUUGCACAAUGCUGCAAACAAGGGAAGAUUAUCUUGCCACCAUUUAAAGAACCGCCGCCUUACCUUACAAGUUUAUUAACAAGGGGUGGAGGAAAAAUAUCAGCAAACUACCGAAAGAACAUUAGGUCUUACA
Molecule: long non-coding RNA, 1803 nt
Organism: Triticum dicoccoides
Lineage: Eukaryota; Viridiplantae; Streptophyta; Magnoliopsida; Poales; Poaceae
Exons: 3
Source: RefSeq, a predicted model, not a curated record